This 242-nucleotide ribosomal RNA is filed under the name uncultured bacterium. Its description in RNAcentral is "partial 16S ribosomal RNA". It matches the Rfam family "Bacterial small subunit ribosomal RNA", at positions 535 to 776 of the family's 1533-position model. The record is from RNAcentral.
CAAGCGUUGUCCGGAUUUAUUGGGCGUAAAGAGCGUGUAGGCGGCCAGGUAGGUCUGGUGUGAAAACUCGAGGCUCAACCUCGAGAGGUCAUCGGAAACCAUCUGGCUAGAGUCCGGAAGAGGAGAGUGGAAUUCCCGGUGUAGCGGUGAAAUGCGCAGAUAUCGGGAAGAACACCUAUGGCGAAGGCAGCUCUCUGGGACGGUACUGACGCUGAGACGCGAAAGCGUGGGGAGCGAACAGG